This 82-nucleotide transfer RNA is filed under the name Lentinula edodes (shiitake mushroom). RNAcentral describes it as "tRNA-Arg". It matches the Rfam family "tRNA". From Rfam's summary of the family: Transfer RNA (tRNA) molecules are approximately 80 nucleotides in length. Lineage: Eukaryota; Fungi; Basidiomycota; Agaricomycetes; Agaricales; Omphalotaceae. The record is from RNAcentral.
GGCCGCCUGGCGAAAUGGCAUCGCGUCUGACUACGAUUGUAUUGUCAUCAGGAGAUUGCAGGUUCGACCCCUGCGGUGGUCA